GCUGACAUUAAAGAGAUUUUGGAGCAUGCUUUUUCACCCACAAAAUGCCAACUUUUUAUGGGAGACAGAAUACUUGGUCAACCCAAUGAAAUUCAUGUAUAUCAUUGAUCAUUUUCCAAAGCCAUAUCCGUGGUUCACUACAAUAUUUGGUAGCAGGAAAGACCUUCCAGAAGGGGAACUGACAUUUGCAUUGGAAAUGUAUUUCCUACAAAAGCCUUCUAACUCCAGAGAUUUAAUCGUGCCUCUAUGUCUGAAAGCGGAGUAGCAGUGAAUAACUGUAGUUGGGUAUGAACUGAGAUGUUGGGAGCGUCGACUGUUGAGGUGUGACUUGUCGUGGAUCUUCUCUGCGUCUGUGAUGAACUGCUGACAAAGUGUGGAGUAAAAGCAUACAAGGAAGAUGUAGACUGAGAUGAUUUUGGCCGGAUGGUGAGACCGCGCAUUUAAGGAGAAGCAAAGAUUAGAUGAAGAUUAUGAAGCUGGGUAUAAUGGAAGUAUUUGUUGGUCUUUGACAGAGUGAGCUCGUUAGGGUGUUAUUCCGUCGGGAUGGAGCUUCGAUGGUGGCAAGGGUUUAAGUCUCCUUGUGUUACUGCUGGUCGACGUGGCUCCAGAGGGAAGAGAAGGUGAUGUGAGGGAACAAAAAAGGGCGUGUGUGCUCGCGUUGCGUUUUGGAGAAGGUCAUUUUGUGAUGUAUACCAUAGGAGUGAUGUUGAGUGUGAGGGCGAUGUGGUUUUGUGAGUGGAUCGGAGAGAUUUUUCUUUUUCCCAAAUUGUUUGUCUCGUGCGCUAAAGUUUCCCCUGCUCAUCCGCCAUGAACACUGUAAAGGAUGGC
Molecule: unclassified non-coding RNA, 828 nt
Filed under: Hevea brasiliensis (rubber tree)
Lineage: Eukaryota; Viridiplantae; Streptophyta; Magnoliopsida; Malpighiales; Euphorbiaceae
Source: RNAcentral